Molecule: non-coding RNA, 799 nt
Filed under: Chorisoserrata biceps
Lineage: Eukaryota; Metazoa; Arthropoda; Insecta; Blattodea; Pseudophyllodromiidae
Source: RNAcentral
CAUAAUUAUAAUUAUUGGUCCAUUUAUUUUAUAACUUAUUUAAGAGUUUAGAGUUUUAUCCUGGCUUUAUUAUUUAUUUUUACAUGAAAAUAUAUGUUUUGAUUUUAUCUUGAUGUGGUUUUAUUAACAAUAUUUUAUAUUAUUAAUUGAUGAAAUUUUGAUUUAGUUAAUGUUAUUUAUUACUGAUAAAGUUUGUGCCAGCAGUCGCGGUUAGACAUUGAGUAUUAAUAAAUAUUUUUGGUUUAUUAGGUAAAUUUAUUUUUAUUAUUUUUUAUUUAUUAUAUGGUGAAAUAUUUAAUUUAUUUGAAUUCUUAUUAUUUAUUGUUCUAUAAAAUCAUUUAAUUAAACUAGGAUUAGAUACCCUAUUAUUGUUGAUAUAAAAUUUUUACUUGGGUAGUAUUAGUUAUGAUCUUGAAACUUAAAGGAUUUGGCGGUAUUUUAAGCUAUUUAGAGGAAUCUGUUUUUUAAUUGAUAUUCCACAUUGUACCUUACUUAUAUUGAUAUUUGUAUAUCGCCGUUAUGAAGUCUUUAUAAGAAUUAAGAUUUCUUUAUUUUUUAUUUUAGGUUAUUUCAGGUCAGGGUGCAGUUUAUAUAAGUUAAAAUGGAUUACAUUUUUUUAUAUAAUUUUUAGAUGAUUUAUUGUAAUAUAUAUUUGAAAUUGGAUUUAAUAGUAAUUUUAUUUAGAUUGUUAAAAUGAAUAUUAGCUCUGAAAUAUGUACAUAUCGCCCGUCACUCUCAUUUAUUUAGAUGAGAUAAGUCGUAACAUAGUAGGUGUACCGGAAGGUGUAGCUAGAAUGUC